CACUCCUACGGGAGGCAGCAGUGGGGAAUAUUGCACAAUGGGGGAAACCCUGAUGCAGCCAUGCCGCGUGUGUGAAGAAGGCCUUCGGGUUGUAAAGCACUUUCAGUAGGGAGGAAGGUAGUGUAGUUAACACCUGCACUAUUUGACGUUACCUACAGAAGAAGCACCGGCUAACUCCGUGCCAGCAGCCGCGGUAAUACGGAGGGUGCGAGCGUUAAUCGGAAUUACUGGGCGUAAAGCGCAUGCAGGCGGCCUGUUAAGUCAGAUGUGAAAGCCCGGGGCUUAACCUCGGAAUUGCAUUUGAAACUGGCAGGCUAGAGUACUGUAGAGGGGGUAGAAUUUCAGGUGUAGCGGUGAAAUGCGUAGAGAUCUGAAGGAAUACCGGUGGCGAAGGCGGCCCCCUGGACAGAUACUGACACUCAGAUGCGAAAGCGUGGGGAGCAAACAGGAUUAGAUACCCUGGUAG
This 466-nucleotide ribosomal RNA is filed under the name uncultured bacterium. RNAcentral describes it as "bacterial SSU rRNA". It matches the Rfam family "Bacterial small subunit ribosomal RNA", at positions 334 to 793 of the family's 1533-position model. The record is from RNAcentral.